AGUGAACGCUGGCGGUAGGCCUAACACAUGCAAGUCGAACGGCAGCACAGUAAGAGCUUGCUCUUACGGGUGGCGAGUGGCGGACGGGUGAGGAAUACAUCGGAAUCUACUUUUUCGUGGGGGAUAACGUAGGGAAACUUACGCUAACACCGCAUACGACCUACGGGUGAAAGCAGGGGAUCUUCGGACCUUGCGCGAUUGAAUGAGCCGAUGUCGGAUUAGCUAGUUGGCGGGGUAAAGGCCCACCAAGGCGACGAUCCGUAGCUGGUCUGAGAGGAUGAUCAGCCACACUGGAACUGAGACACGGUCCAGACUCCUACGGGAGGCAGCAGUGGGGAAUAUUGGACAAUGGGCGCAAGCCUGAUCCAGCCAUACCGCGUGGGUGAAGAAGGCCCUCGGGUUGUAAAGCCCUUUUGUUGGGAAAGAAAAGCAGCAGGUUAAUACCCCGCUGUUCUGACGGUACCCAAAGAAUAGGCACCGGCUAACUUCGUG
This 492-nucleotide ribosomal RNA is filed under the name uncultured bacterium. RNAcentral describes it as "partial 16S ribosomal RNA". It matches the Rfam family "Bacterial small subunit ribosomal RNA", at positions 29 to 507 of the family's 1533-position model. The record is from RNAcentral.